This 253-nucleotide ribosomal RNA is filed under the name uncultured bacterium. Its description in RNAcentral is "partial 16S ribosomal RNA". It matches the Rfam family "Bacterial small subunit ribosomal RNA", at positions 524 to 776 of the family's 1533-position model. The record is from RNAcentral.
UACAGAGGUCUCAAGCGUUGUUCGGAUUCAUUGGGCGUAAAGGGUGCGUAGGUGGCGCGAUAAGUCGGGUGUGAAAUCUCGGAGCUUAACUCCGAAAUUGCAUUCGAUACUGCCGUGCUCGAGGACUGGAGAGGAGACUGGAAUUCAUGGUGUAGCAGUGAAAUGCGUAGAGAUCGUAAGGAAGACCAGUGGCGAAGGCGGGUCUCUGGACAGUUCCUGACGCUGAGGCACGAAGGCCAGGGGAGCAAACGGG